GCUUAGGUUCUCGUCGCAAAUGUCAGCGACGCGGACAAACAUUGACAGAUUCUUUCGGCGGUUCAGAGCGUAAAGAUGGGAAAUGAGUGAUUUCUCUAACUUUAAUAUAUAUUCUAAAUAACAGAGGAGCUCAAAGCAGAAGGGAUUAACGCAGACAUGGAUCAGGAGUUUGAGGAUAUGGAUUCAGAGAGCCGCUGGCAAAACCUUUAUUUAGAGAUACGCAACCAGUCACACGAGUGUGCUUUCAAAGUAGCCAAGUAUCCAGAGAAUCGCAACCGCAACAGAUACAGAGACGUCAGCCCAUUUGACCACAGUCGGGUGAAAUUAGAAAACACAGAGAAUGACUACAUCAAUGCCAGCCUGGUGGUAAUGGAAGAGGCUCAAAGAAGGUACAUCCUUACCCAGGGUCCUUUGAGAAACACAUGUGGUCAUUUUUGGCUGAUGAUCUGGGAACAGAAGACCAAAGCAGUUAUCAUGCUCAACAGAGUAAUAGAGAAAGGCUCGGAAAAGUGUGCACAAUACUGGCCAACACAAGAGGAGCGUGAGAUGUCGUUCCGUGACACCCGCUUUGUGGUAACACUAGUGUCAGAAGAUGUCAAAUCAUAUUACACCAUCAGACUGCUGGAACUGCAGAAUGGAAAUACAGGGGAGACAAGAGAGAUCUACCACUUUCAUUAUACCACAUGGCCAGACUUUGGCGUCCCAGAUUCCCCUGCCAGUUUCCUGAACUUCCUGUUUAAGGUGCGAGAGUCUGGAUCACUCGGGAUGGACCAAGGUCCGGCAGUGGUCCACUGCAGUGCAGGAAUCGGGCGCUCUGGAACGUUCUCUCUGGUCGACACCUCUCUUGUCUUAAUGGACAGGAGGAAAGACCCAUUGGCGGUAGACAUCAAAAAGAUUCUGCUGGAUAUGCGGAAGUACCGGAUGGGUCUGAUUCAGACUCCCGACCAGCUGCGUUUCUCCUACAUGGCUGUGCUGGAAGGAGCCAAAUACAUUAUGGGAGACUCCUCUGUUCAGAAACAGUGGCAAGAGCUCUCCAGAGAGGACCAGGAGCCUCUGUCCGAGUCCCCUCCGCCACCGCAGCCUCCUAAGUGCAUGGAGCGCUUUAACGGCAACAAGCUGUCUCGUCUGGAGGAUGGUAUGGACACAAAAACAACAAAGAAAACAGGUCUGGAGACCCCCAAUAAAGAGCCAGACAAAGAUGCUGGAACACAUGGUCGUAAGAGGCCGAGGGAUGAGAAGAUGCCCAAUUCUACACAGAAGAGUCAGAAACAGACGAAACCCAGGAUCAACGACCCGGAUAAGAAAAGGAAAAGUCUGGGCUGUAUUUGCUGUACGUGACACAGCGAGUGCUGCCUGUUGGGACAUCUUCCCAAUAAGGCAGCUGUGGUGAAUCUCCAGGAUUUUUGUAAAGUUUUCCCCGGCUCCUCUGAAUCCUCAGACUAGCAAAAACAACCAGUGACUCUCAACUUCAUGGCAACCUCAGCUAGAGACCUCCAUCCCAUAAUGUUCUCCAUUCGCCUAUGUUUUUUAAACCGUUUACAGCAUGAACUUGAGGAGAAAAGAUCUCCGCACAACAGCACACACCAGCACUAUUACAGUGGAUGAAACUCAAUAUCAAGGAGUGCAUCACCAUGGUUUGAACUGGUUUUUAUUUCAUCUGACCUGUUUUGUGUAAUGUUUUUUUUAUUAUUAUUAUUCUUGCUUUUUGUGUUUGGUAGAAAAAAGCAGCAGGUUCUGAAGUAGACCUAUGCAUUUCUAACGCUGUUUAUACAUUGUAUUUUUAGACAACUUUUUCAGAGACAAAAUGCUCUAUUUUUUAUAAGAAAGUACUUGAAAUUUCCUAUCAUAUCUGCAGGGCUGUAUGCUCGUCCAGUUUGUGAGAUUGUAAGACGUCUUACGCUCGAGUGCUCACAUUGUGUACAUAGUGUACCUUAUGAGAUGUAAAAAAAAUUGUACAAAAUCAUGAACAGACAUUUGAAUAGACACACCAAACAAACCAGCAGUGUCUGAUAUUAAAGUGUCUUACAUUUCUUUAUCAAAAAGUAGGAUCCAUAAAUAAAAAUUGGUAUCAUUUAGUUUCUUUAACAAUGAGUUGCUUUGUCCAAUUAUUCAGAAGAGCUUAUUUAAAAUAGUCCUAUUGCUCAUACUUUACCAUCACUUUUCAUUAUCUCUUCUUACUGUUAGAUCAGUUUGUUUUUCUUGCAGAUUUCUCAAAGAAAUGUCGGUCCAGGUCAAACCCAAUAGUUUAUUUAAGGUGCCAAAGAAUGGAUUAAUACUAUGGGCCCUAUCUUGCACCCAGCGCAAUUGACUUUGUCAGUGACGCAUGUAUCAUUCGUAUUUUGCGCCGGCGCACAGCAGGGUUUUCCCUCCACAGAUGCACGUCAGCAAACUAGGGAAUGAACUUGCGCUCCCUGGGCGGUUCAGCGCAAAAAGGAGGCGUGUUGCGGCGCAAACCAUCUCUUAUGCUAUUUUGCAGUUUCAAAAAACAAUUGCGCUACUAACCAAAAAAAACUAGUCUAAAGUCAGUGGCGCGUUGCGCGUGGUUCAUUAUGCUAUUUUAAGGGCGCAUGCUUGACCAUAAUGUAUAGCGUGCACAACGCGCAUACACUUUGCUUA
Paramisgurnus dabryanus is the source of this 2616-nucleotide RNA transcript. It is a transcript of the gene named protein tyrosine phosphatase non-receptor type 2b, with no coding region annotated. NCBI's taxonomy places the organism in Eukaryota, Metazoa, Chordata, Actinopteri, Cypriniformes, Cobitidae. The record is from RefSeq and is a predicted model, not a curated record.